This 253-nucleotide ribosomal RNA is filed under the name uncultured bacterium. Its description in RNAcentral is "partial 16S ribosomal RNA". It matches the Rfam family "Bacterial small subunit ribosomal RNA", at positions 524 to 776 of the family's 1533-position model. The record is from RNAcentral.
GACAGAGGGGGCAAGCGUUGUCCGGAGUUACUGGGCGUAAAGGGCUCGGAGGCGGUCUGCGGCGUCGGCGCUGAAAGCGCCCCGCUUAACGGGGCGAGGCGUGCCGAUACGCGCAGACUUGAGGCGAGCAGAGGGUGGUGGAAUUCCGGGUGGAGCGGUGAAAUGCGUAGAGAUCCGGAGGAACGCCAGUGGGGAAGCCGGCCACCUGGGCUCGUCCUAACGCUGCGGCGCGACCGCGUGGGGAGCAAACCGG